RNAcentral lists this ribosomal RNA (424 nucleotides) under Verrucomicrobiota bacterium. RNAcentral's name for it is "Verrucomicrobia bacterium partial 16S ribosomal RNA". It matches the Rfam family "Bacterial small subunit ribosomal RNA", at positions 355 to 776 of the family's 1533-position model. The record is from RNAcentral. Lineage: Bacteria; Pseudomonadati; Verrucomicrobiota.
UGAGGAAUAUUGGUCAAUGGACGGAAGUCUGAACCAGCCAAGUAGCGUGCAGGAUGACGGCCCUAUGGGUUGUAAACUGCUUUUGUAUGGGGAUAAAGUUAGGGACGUGUCCCUAUUUGCAGGUACCAUACGAAUAAGGACCGGCUAAUUCCGUGCCAGCAGCCGCGGUAAUACGGAAGGUCCAGGCGUUAUCCGGAUUUAUUGGGUUUAAAGGGAGCGUAGGCUGGAGAUUAAGUGUGUUGUGAAAUGUAGACGCUCAACGUCUGAAUUGCAGCGCAUACUGGUUUCCUUGAGUACGCACAACGUUGGCGGAAUUCAUGGUGUAGCGGUGAAAUGCUUAGAUAUCAUGAAGAACUCCGAUUGCGAAGGCAGCUUACGGGAGCGCAACAGACGCUGAAGCUCGAAAGUGCGGGUAUCGAACAGG